UAGGGAAUCUUCCGCAAUGGACGAAAGUCUGACGGAGCAACGCCGCGUGAGUGAAGAAGGCUUUCGGGUCGUAAAACUCUGUUGUUAGGGAAGAAAAAAUGUAUAGUAACUAUAUACAAAAGAGACGGUACCUAACCAGAAAGCCACGGCUAACUACGUGCCAGCAGCCGCGGUAAUACGUAGGUGGCAAGCGUUGUCCGGAAUUAUUGGGCGUAAAGCGCGCGCAGGUGGUUUAGAAAGUCUGAUGUGAAAGCCCACGGCUCAACCGUGGAGGGUCAUUGGAAACUAAUAAACUAGAGUGCAGGAGAGAAAAGUGGAAUUCCUAGUGUAGCGGUGAAAUGCGUAGAGAUUAGGAGGAACACCGGUGGCGAAAGCGGCUUUUUGGCCUGCAACUGACACUGAGGCGCGAAAGCGUGGGGAGCAAACAGG
RNAcentral lists this ribosomal RNA (429 nucleotides) under Verrucomicrobiota bacterium. Its description in RNAcentral is "Verrucomicrobia bacterium partial 16S ribosomal RNA". It matches the Rfam family "Bacterial small subunit ribosomal RNA", at positions 355 to 776 of the family's 1533-position model. The record is from RNAcentral. Lineage: Bacteria; Pseudomonadati; Verrucomicrobiota.